CUGACUCAAUGGGAUGUCUGGACUGAACCAGAGGCAAGAACCUCUCCUCCCAAGCAGAGAGGAUUCCUGGGAGAAGCUCAUGCUGGAAUGCAGAAGGGAGUGGGCAAACCCAAAACACUGAGGCAUCAAACACACCAGAGGUGGCUUUUUGGUUCCCUCCUGCAGAUAGAUUAUGCAGACAUGUUCAGCAUAUGGAGCAGAGCAGAUCCAAACUCUGUUCAAUCAAAUGCAAAGUGCCUUCAUGUGCUGCUGCUUCAGAGUGUGAACUCCCAGAGAAGGCAAUGCAUUGAAGUGUAUUAUGAACUGAGAGCAUGAAAACACCCAGGUAGUCUUGGAAAAAUGGUUAAUCAGUCUGGAGCUGUUCUGCUGCCUGCUCUUUUAACAGCUGUCCAAGUGCGCAGGAAGAGUCGAACCAACACUACAACCUGGCCAGCUCUGCUCACUUGGGUCCUACAACCUAAACACAGUGCACUAAAG
Non-coding RNA from Zonotrichia albicollis (white-throated sparrow), 477 nucleotides. NCBI's taxonomy places the organism in Eukaryota, Metazoa, Chordata, Aves, Passeriformes, Passerellidae. The record is from RefSeq and is a predicted model, not a curated record.